Molecule: long non-coding RNA, 891 nt
Filed under: Homo sapiens (human)
Lineage: Eukaryota; Metazoa; Chordata; Mammalia; Primates; Hominidae
Description: non-protein coding lnc-NRBF2-2:1
Source: RNAcentral
AUGAGUCAUUUCAAGUUUAUCGAUAUUGUUAUCAACUUGACUGACACCAUGUUCAGAGGAAUUUAUAGGGGGGUUCAAAAGCAUCAAGAUGAUUUACAGGAUGUAACAGGGAGAGCUGUCGAGAUUGGUGUUAAAAAGUUUAUGAUUACAGGUGGAAAUCUACAAGACAGUAAAGAUGCACUGCAUUUGGCACAAACAAAUCAUAUGUUUUUCAGUACAGCUGGAUGUCAUCCUACAAGAUGUGGUAAAUUUGAAAAGAAUAACCCUGAUCUUUACUUAAAGGAGUUGCUAAAUCUUGAUGAAAACAAUAAAGGGAAAGUUGUGGCAGUAGGAGAAUGUGGACUUGAUUUUGACUGACUGCACUUUUGUCCCAAAGAUACUCAACUCAAAUACUGUGAAAAACAGUUUGAACUGUCAGAACAAACAAAAUUACCAAUGUUUCUUCAUUGUCGAAACUCACAUGCUGAAUUUUUGGACAUAAUUAAAAGAAAUAGAGAUCGGUGUGUAGAGGGAGUGGUGCAUUCAUUUGAUGGUACCAAAGAAGCAGCAGCUGCUUUGAUUGACUUGGAUCUUUAUAUAGGAUUUAAUGGUUGCUCACUGAAAACUGAAACUAAUUUGGAAGUUUUGAAGUCAAUUCCUAGUGAAAAAUUAAUGAUUGAGACAGAUGCACCUUGGUGUGGAGUCAAAAGUACACAUGCUGGAUCAAAAUAUAUAAAAACUGCAUUUCCUACCAAAAAGAAGUGGGAAAGUGGGCACUGCUUAAAAGACAGAAAUGAACCCUGCCAUAUAAUUCAAAUAUUGGAGAUAAUGUCAGCAGUGAGAGACGAGGAUCCACUGGAAUCAGCCAAUACACUAUAUAACAAUACUAUUAAAGUAUUUUUUCCUGGAAUA